CAGUAGCCACGGUAAUACGUAGGGUGCGAGCGUUAAUCGGAAUUACUGGGCGUAAAGCGUGCGCAGGCGGCUUUGCAAGACAGAGGUGAAAUCCCCGGGCUCAACCUGGGACCUGCAUUUGUGACUGUAUAGCUAGAGUACGGUAGAGGGGGAUGGAAUUCCGCGUGUAGCAGUGAAAUGCGUAGAUAUGCGGAGGAACACCGAUGGCGAAGGCAUCCCCUAGACCUGUACUGACGCUCAUGCACGAAAGCGUGGGGAGCAAACAGGAUUAGAUACCCCGGUAGUCCCUGUCUCUAAUACA
This 301-nucleotide ribosomal RNA is filed under the name uncultured bacterium. RNAcentral's name for it is "partial 16S ribosomal RNA". It matches the Rfam family "Bacterial small subunit ribosomal RNA", at positions 509 to 810 of the family's 1533-position model. The record is from RNAcentral.